This 623-nucleotide long non-coding RNA is filed under the name Homo sapiens (human). Its description in RNAcentral is "gastric adenocarcinoma associated, positive CD44 regulator, long intergenic non-coding RNA". The record is from RNAcentral. Lineage: Eukaryota; Metazoa; Chordata; Mammalia; Primates; Hominidae.
AUGACUAGCCAAUGCCUGAAAUAAUGAACUCCUCCAAGGCAAGAAAUCUGUUUUGAAGCUUCUCUGCGUUCACACACAGCAGCCUGGUUUCCUGGAAGGGCAUUUUCCACAUUGUGCGUUAUGGAUGAUCAUCCCAGGCAUCAGGUGUGAAGCCCUGCAUCCACAUCCAGGGGCUAUCAAAUCUCUCUGCAAAAGGAGAAGCUGGACUCAGUUCUGUGAAGGAAGCUGCAGAAGAAAAAGGUGAAAGAGGUGAGGAAGCUGCAGAAGAAAACCUGGAAGUUAGCAGAGCUUGAUCCAGAGGUUUAAGGAAAGAAGCCAUCUCCAUAACAUAAAAGUGCAAGGUGAAGCAGCAAGUGCUGAUGGGGAAGCUGCAGCAAGUCAUCCAGAAGAUCUUGCUAAGGGUAUGCACAGAUGUGGAAACAGGAACUGAUGUGUCCAUUACACCACUAGGACAGAGGCCAGAACAAUGAAGAAACCAAAUACUUGGAAGAGGGUAGAGAUAAUGAAUGGAGUCCAAGAGCCCUGAUUGUGCCAUAAAUGUCCAGAUAAUUCCAUACCUGAGGAUUAUGUGGUUUGUAAACUUGGCACUUAGAAGAACCAAUAAAAUCAUGUUAUAGUUUCAA